This 462-nucleotide ribosomal RNA is filed under the name uncultured bacterium. RNAcentral describes it as "partial 16S ribosomal RNA". It matches the Rfam family "Bacterial small subunit ribosomal RNA", at positions 28 to 507 of the family's 1533-position model. The record is from RNAcentral.
GAUGAACGCUGACAGAAUGCUUAACACAUGCAAGUCAUUGGCGAAGCUGCGCUUGCGCAGUCUAGCCAAGGCGGACGGGUGAGUAACGCGUCAGGAACUUGCCCUGCAGACAGGGAUAACAGACGGAAACGACUGAUAACACCUGGUCUUGUCAGGCUGGCGCAUGCCGGCCUGAUGAAAGGAGACGCUGCAGGAGAGCCUUGCGUCCUAGUAGCUAGUUGGUGGGGUAACGGCCCACCAAGGCGAUGAUAGGUAGCCGGCCUGAGAGGGUGAACGGCCACAAGGGGACUGAGAUACGGCCCUUACGCAUACGGGAGGCAGCAGUGGGGAAUAUUGGACAAUGGGGGCAACCCUGAUCCAGCAAUUCUGUGUGCACGAAGAAGGUUUUCGGAUUGUAAAGUGCUUUCAGCAGGGAAGAAGAAAGUGACGGUACCUGCAGAAGAAGCGACGGCUAAAUACGUG